Molecule: small nucleolar RNA, 106 nt
Filed under: Cephalotus follicularis
Lineage: Eukaryota; Viridiplantae; Streptophyta; Magnoliopsida; Oxalidales; Cephalotaceae
Description: Plant small nucleolar RNA R71
Rfam family: Plant small nucleolar RNA R71
About the family: R71 is a member of the C/D box family of snoRNAs containing the C (UGAUGA) and D (CUGA) box motifs. Multiple nearly identical copies of this snoRNA have been identified in Arabidopsis, and it is thought to function as a 2'-O-ribose methylation guide for 18S ribosomal RNA.
Source: Rfam by way of RNAcentral
ACGGCAUGAUGGGGACAUCAACUGAUGAGAUCCUUUAAUCUCUCCCAUGACUCAUGGAAUUUCUCACCAUCUUGUUGCGAAAAGCUAGUAAGAGCUCGUCUUAUCU